AUACGUAGGGGGCUAGCGUUAUCCGGAUUUACGUGGGCGUAAAGGGUGCGUAGGUGGUUUCUUAAGUCAGGAGUGAAAGGCUACGGCUUAACCGUAGUAAGCCCCUCUUGAAACUGGGAAACUUGAGUGCAGGAGAGGAAAGUGGAAUUCCUAGUGUAGCGGUGAAAUGCGUAGAUAUUAGGAGGAACACCAGUAGCGAAGGCGGCUUUCUGGACUGUAACUGACACUGAGGCACGAAAGCGUGGGGAGC
RNAcentral lists this ribosomal RNA (250 nucleotides) under uncultured bacterium. RNAcentral's name for it is "partial 16S ribosomal RNA". It matches the Rfam family "Bacterial small subunit ribosomal RNA", at positions 523 to 769 of the family's 1533-position model. The record is from RNAcentral.